UACGUAGGGUGCGAGCGUUGUCCGGAAUUACUGGGCGUAAAGAGUUCGUAGGCGGUUUGUCGCGUCGUUCGUGAAAACUUGGGGCUUAACUCCAAGCGUGCGGGCGAUACGGGCAGACUUGAGUACUACAGGGGAGACUGGAAUUCCGGGUGUAGUGGUGAAAUGCGUAGAGAUCCGGAGGAACACCAGUGGCGAAGGCGACACGCUGGGCCGUACCUGACACUGAUGCGCGACAGCAUGGGGAGCAAACGAGG
RNAcentral lists this ribosomal RNA (254 nucleotides) under uncultured bacterium. Its description in RNAcentral is "partial 16S ribosomal RNA". It matches the Rfam family "Bacterial small subunit ribosomal RNA", at positions 524 to 777 of the family's 1533-position model. The record is from RNAcentral.